GUAUUUUAAAGUAGCUCAAUUUGGUCCUUAUUUAUGAAAAAAAAAAUGAAAUAAUAUAGUCCCUGCCGUUAAAUUUUGUGAACGCGUCAAAAUUGUUGUCUGGUGGCUAACUGAGGUGGCAUUUCAUUUGAAAAGUAGGUGGCACAAGUCAUCCCUUCCUCACCCAAAAUUAGGGUUUGCUAGAUUGGGGAAAAAGAACUUGCGCCGUUAGGGAGUCUCUGCGCGAGAGAAGGAAUUCCGCUAAUGGAGAUAAGGUGCGAGGCAGAAGCUCGUGGUGGUGGCCUCUUGCGGAUGGUGAUUCAGAGUUCGAAGGGUUUCUUCGAAUUGGGUCUCUGUGUGUGUGAUGGUUGUUGGUCCUCUGGUUUUUCUGAGUGCAGGUGGUGAGGAUGGCGGCACGAAGCGUCAAUGGAAGAUGGCCAUGGUUGCGCGUGAAUGAAGAAGCGGCGCUGCUCAUGGUGGUGGUCCGAUGCGAGCUUGGAGGAUGACGAGUUGUUGAUGGUGACCUCGCAAUGAUGGUCUACGUGAGUAAGGCUCGAAGCUUGCGCGAUUUUGGGUCGUGGUGGCGAAGUGAUGUGGCGGCGCUGUGGUGGUUUUGCUGGAGAAGAUGAAGGUGGGAGAUGGUGGUUCUGCGACAGCAGCUUGGGCGUUGAUGAUGCAUUUGAGGACGACUGCUGACGAGGAUGACGAUGACGGCGCUUUGGGCUGCCAUGGUUGCUGAAUGAAGAAGCUUGUGUGUUGAUGGUGAUGAGCGUGGUAGUCGUAGCGGCUAGGGUUUUGUUUCUGCGAUUCUGUGUGCAGGUUGGGGUGGCUCUACGACGGCGGCUUGGUGGUAGUACGGUUUAAGUGUGGCGGUGUAGGAAUUGUAAAAUGUCACGUGCUUUUCAAAUGCCACCGCACCUAGCGAUCUGGCAACAAUUUUGAUGCUGUCCACAGAAUUUAACGGCAGGGAUUGUAUUGCUUCAAUUUUU
Molecule: long non-coding RNA, 968 nt
Organism: Vigna angularis (adzuki bean)
Lineage: Eukaryota; Viridiplantae; Streptophyta; Magnoliopsida; Fabales; Fabaceae
Exons: 2
Source: RefSeq, a predicted model, not a curated record